RNAcentral lists this ribosomal RNA (253 nucleotides) under uncultured bacterium. RNAcentral describes it as "partial 16S ribosomal RNA". It matches the Rfam family "Bacterial small subunit ribosomal RNA", at positions 524 to 776 of the family's 1533-position model. The record is from RNAcentral.
UACGUAGGCAGCAAGCGUUGUUCGGAGUUACUGGGCGUAAAGAGUGCGUAGGCGGUUUCGUAAGUUUGGUGUGAAAUCUCCCGGCUUAACUGGGAGGGUGCGCCGAAAACUGCGGGGCUGGAGUAUGGGAGAGGUAAGCGGAAUUCCUGGUGUAGCGGUGAAAUGCGUAGAUAUCGGGAGGAACACCAGUGGCGAAGGCGGCUUCCUGGCCUGUUCUUGACGCUGAGGCGCGAAAGCUAGGGGAGCAAACGGG